Molecule: ribosomal RNA, 619 nt
Filed under: Ravinia querula
Lineage: Eukaryota; Metazoa; Arthropoda; Insecta; Diptera; Sarcophagidae
Description: eukaryotic LSU rRNA
Rfam family: Eukaryotic large subunit ribosomal RNA
Source: RNAcentral
CAGUUAUUGGGUAUCAAAACCUAAUAGCGAAAUUAACAUAACUUUUAUGGGAUUAGUUUUUAGAUUAUUUAUAGUCUAUUAAUUCAAUCCCGGGGCGUUCUAUAUAGUUAUGUAUAAUAAUAUUUAUAUUAUUUAUACCUCUAACUAGAGCGUACCUUGAGCAUAUAUGCUGUGACCCGAAAGAUGGUGAACUAUACUUGAUCAGGUUGAAGUCAGGGGAAACCCUGAUGGAAGACCGAAACAGUUCUGACGUGCAAAUCGAUUGUCAGAAUUGAGUAUAGGGGCGAAAGACCAAUCGAACCAUCUAGUAGCUGGUUCCCUCCGAAGUUUCCCUCAGGAUAGCUGGUGCAUUUAAAUAUUAUGUAAAAUAAUCUUAUCUGGUAAAGCGAAUGAUUAGAGGCCUUAGGGUCGAAACGACCUUAACCUAUUCUCAAACUUUAAAUGGGUAAGAACCUCACCUUUCUUGGUAUGAAGGUUGUGGUUGUGAUAUAAUGUGCCCAGUGGGCCACUUUUGGUAAGCAGAACUGGCGCUGUGGGAUGAACCAAACGUAAUGUUACGGUGCCCAAAUUAACAACUCAUGCAGAUACCAUGAAAGGCGUUGGUUGCUUAAAACAGCAG